Molecule: ribosomal RNA, 787 nt
Filed under: Alexandrium tamarense
Lineage: Eukaryota; Dinophyceae; Gonyaulacales; Pyrocystaceae
Description: partial Bacterial large subunit ribosomal RNA
Rfam family: Bacterial large subunit ribosomal RNA
Source: RNAcentral
CGAAAAGGGCGUUUGGUGGAUGCCUUGGCAGUAAGAGGCGAUGAAGGACGUGAUACUCUGCGAUAAGCGUAGGUUAGCCGACAAUAGGCUUUGAUCCUGCGAUUUCCGAAUGGGGGAACCCACUUGACAGUUAUUUAUUGUUACCUUUGGUGAUCAAUAAGUGGCUGAACCAAGUACUUCUUACCUGAAUAAAAUAGGGUUUGAAGAGCAAACCCGGGGAACUGAAACAUCUAAGUACCCGGAGGAAAGGACAUCAAUAGAGACUCUGUUAGUAGCGGCGAGCGAACGCGGACCAGCCGAGCCAUGAUUGUGAUCAGAACACAUUGGAAAAUGUGGCCAUAGUGGGUGACAGCCCCGUACGAGAAGCAAGAUUGGACGUAUUAAGUAGGGCGGGACACGUGAAAUCCUGUUUGAAGAUCGGGGGACCACCCCCGAAGGCUAAGUACUCCUUACUGACCGAUAGCGAACCAGUACCGUGAGGGAAAGGUGAAAAGCACCCCGACGAGGGGAGUGAAACAGUUCCUGAAACCGGACGCCUACAAGCAGUCGGAGCCUUCCAUGAUCUUCGGAUCGGGCGAGGUGACGGCGUACCUUUUGUAUAAUGGGUCAACGACUUGGUCUCACGAGCAAGCUUAAGCCGGUAGGUGGAGGCGCAGCGAAAGCGAGUCUUAAACGGGCGACGAGUUCGUGGGAUCAGACCCGAAACCGGGUGAUCUAGGCAUGAGCAGGAUGAAGGUUGGGUAACACCAACUGGAGGUCCGAACCCACACCUGUUGAAAAAGGUCGG